Long non-coding RNA from Lycium barbarum (goji berry), 996 nucleotides. RefSeq lists it as uncharacterized. The transcript has 2 exons. The record is from RefSeq and is a predicted model, not a curated record. Lineage: Eukaryota; Viridiplantae; Streptophyta; Magnoliopsida; Solanales; Solanaceae.
UUCCCCCCUCACUUUUCUCUUAGCCGCCGCCCACCACCACGAAAGAAGCCCUUCAUCUUCUCUCUUCUCCUUCACCACAAACCACCACAUCACCCCCCACGACACUCCAAACACCCCUCCAUUCCGUCUCCCUCUCUCACCCACUGCCCGCUCCGGCGAACUCACGACGCCGGAGCAGUUAACCAGUCCGCAGCCAUGGCGAUACCUCCAUUUCCCUGGUAAAGGCCGCAAAUAAUAUUUCUGAGCCUCAAUACAUUGGUCGCUGCUGUUUCAGGCUCUGCUUGUCUAUUUGAUACCCACAGAGUUCGGAGUGUUGUACUUUGAUACAAGAAGCUGCUAUAAUUCGGGACAACAAUUAUCUACUGUUGUCGUUGCAAGUAUUGAGGAAGAUUGUCGUCAUUUUCUUGAGCUAAAAGUGUCAUAUUCCAUCACGAACAGUUGUUUCAUUUGGCGAGAAUGGCUGCUGUGUGUUUGCUGCAUUUUAUGAGGCAAAACAGAUGCUAUAAUUGAUGUCCCAAUGCUACAGUUAAGAUGAAACAACUGCUGCAUAUCAAGAUGGUUGGGUAGUUUAUGAACCAAUUUUCUGGUAAACAUUUUGAGGGAAUGUGCUGAACUUUAAGCUGUUGUUUGCUGCUAUAUUCCGACUCAUCUCUGCGGUAUUUCGGGUCAACUCAUGGCCUCAUAUUGAUGAAAAUAGUGACUGUCCUUUCAAAGUUUUAAUGCUAUCCUUGGUGCCACUUGUGAUUGCCUACGGUUUCUUUUAUUACCGCAUUUUUGCUGUUAUCUAACAGCUGUUGUCUGUGGCUGCCUAUUGUUACUGCUUUUUGCUGGAAAAACGAACAGAUUACUACACUUGAUAAAGGUUCACUGAUUGAAUAGGAUACAACAUUGGCCGAUGAAGAAAUUUCCGUCGAUUUCCAAGGCCUUCCAUGUAUAAAGACGGGUUUUUAUUUUAAGUUUAUUCAUUAUUUCUUUAAUUCAUCCGAUAGUUAUUUA